GGAUAUUAUACACCAUAGAAGCAUGGUGGGUGUUAUCUGGACCUUCCAUGUAAGCAUUGGGAUACGAGCUGUUCCAGCUGCACCUCUGAUGGUAUACGUAUUUUUUGGCAUGUGUAUGUAUAUGUAUGCACAUGUUCCAAGAUGCACAGCUGGCCUGGCGGCCGAUUAGAUGAGUUGGGAUGGAUGGUGGAGGGCUCAUUUCAAAAUCAUUUGAAACCCCAGUCUCGCUCUCUCGUCUCUGGUUCGUCCUCCCUCUCUCCUCUCCCUACAGACGACAACUCAGAUCCGGAUGCUGCAACAAGGUAACCGCCAGAUCCAUCGACAUCGAGGCUAGAUCUGGCGAUGGUGGUGCCGGAUCUGAGGCACCGGGGUCCUGCGAGGCCGGCGCUGGGUUCCUAUGGGCUAUGGCGGAGCCCCCGCCGCCGAGAGGGGCGUGGAAAUCCUCGGUGGUGGUACCUGCAAGGGCCCACUCUCUCGCCCCUCUGGUAGGCCGCCGGCUGCUGCAGCUACUGGUGGUUGUCGUCAACCGUCUCGCCAUUGCCCUCGACGGCGCGGCGGUGGCACUAGCGGGAGGACGGGGCACGGCGUGGUGGCCCCGGCUGCGCAGGAGGCAGGGGCACUGCGCCGCAGCGGCCAUCGGAGUCCGGCGCCGCGGUCCGGGUGGCGCGGAGGGCGGGGCACUGGCGGUGCUGUGCACGGCCGCAGGGCGCUACCGUGGCUGGCGGCGUUGCGAGCAGCGGUGUGGCACGACCGCGACUGGCGGCGGGAAGCGGCGGCCUGCGACGCUGCGCACGGCGCGACCGCGUGCAGCGGCAGGGGCUGGACGUCCAUGGCGGCGCGGGUAAGCUGAUGCGGAUGACCUCCAGGGCCGCCUACGCCUACGCCACUCCUUCAGUUCUAGCACGACGCGCGCCGGCGCCGACCCCCGCCCUCCUCGGCGCCUCCGCGGCUCUUCUCGGCCUCGCGCCCCGCCCUCCUCGGCGCCUCCACGGCCGCCGCUUCGGGGCCAGUCGGCGCCUCCCGGGCCGCCUCCUCCUGCGCAUCUCGAAGGGGUCUGGGUCUGUGCUCGGCCACACGGCCGGGGGCUGCUCGCCGCCUCCCAAGGGUGCAGUGGUGCGUCGCCGCUGCCCAGAAGCGAGACGAAAAGGCCGCCGCUCCGACCGCCCAUGGCCUCGUCAUGCGCGAGGGCCGCCUUUGCCUGGUCCGCUCCCUGGGAGAUGCCACGCGCAGCACCUCCGCCGCCGCUUGCCUCGCGACCAGCCCGCGCGGGGAGCUCCCUCCUGUUGAGGGUGGAGGGUGAUGUCGGAGCUGGCUGGGCAUAGGUGGCGGUUUGCAGAUAAAGAUUGAGGAGGGAGGGGGCUAUGCCGCCUGAGAGGGCGAAUGGGGUGGAGGGGGGUUCUCUGAAUGGCUCUACUGCAUGGAUGCAUGCCACCUGCUUGCACAUGGAUGUACUCUAUUAAUUAAGUACCUCAUUCAAUUCUGUUCUAUCCAUUUUGAUUUCUUAGUAUGUGUUAUUAGUGAUGGCUCACAAGGGUGUUUGUACAUCAGUGGUGUCCCAAGUAUAUAACACAAGAUGAAAAAUUGCAAAAGAUUAUUAAAAAUAGGAUCAAAUGUUUGUUUAGACUAUGUUUGGUACAACACUAAAGAGUAUAAAAUGCGGCACUGGUACAGUUGAGUAGAGUACCUUAGUACUGUAUAUUAUCAAUGUGGUAAUCCAAGUACAAAGAGAGGAGUACCUGCUGGUACCUAUUUUGAUUUGUGUGAUUAUAAUUUAUUUUUAUGUACACAAUAUUUUAUUGUACAAGAGAAGAGAGCUUAGAUGAAUAUUAUUUUAUUUUAUUAAU
Molecule: long non-coding RNA, 1844 nt
Organism: Panicum virgatum (switchgrass)
Lineage: Eukaryota; Viridiplantae; Streptophyta; Magnoliopsida; Poales; Poaceae
Exons: 2
Source: RefSeq, a predicted model, not a curated record